AGCAGAUAGAUGGAUGCAUGUGUUCAGGACACUGAUAAUGCAGGAGGUUUUCGUAACAAGACUGGAACUUGGAGAGAACCCUCCUUUGCCCCAUUAUCUUGAAAAAAGCUUUCGGAGCUGGGGCUUAGCCAGCAGCUACCGGCCACUCCCCAUUUUGGCCACUUGCAUCCCCAAAACAACUUUUCCCAUGACUCACACAUAGCAGCUUGUGCACUUCUUUUAUUAUUAAAUAUAUAAGCAGCUUCCUAUUUUUUUAAAUAGAUAUUUAAAUGACUUCAUAUAAAAUAAUUCACCACUUCCAAGUAUAAAAACAAAAAUCUCACAGUGUGUGAGCCAAUGUUCCCUCUCGGCUUUCUCAGAGAAAAGAAGGUUCCUGUGCAGGUAGCUGGGGAGACACCCAGAGGGGGGCUAGGAGCCCUCCCACUCCUGUGCCCCAAGAGCCCUCAAAGAGCUUCUGCGAUGGGUUGGAUUUGCUUUCUUGACUUUCAAAAUACUAUAUGUUUAAGGAGGGGAGUGAGGGAGGAAUGCCUUUUUUCUGUGUUGUUUUUUCCUUCCACGUUUUUAAAUAGAUAUUUUUUUAGUAUCAAAUAUAGAGUCUGUGACUAGCAAAAGGACCCCGACAGGGAAAGUUCUCCAAUGCCCUUGCCUUUGCUGACAGCAACAGGGCAGGGGAGGCAGGGACCAGUGGGCCUUCACUUUCAAGGGCAGGAAGGGCCCUGGUGCAACGGCCAAGUAGGGCAGGGUCUCUCAGUGGAGGGCCCAGGAAGCUGAGGCCCUCAAGGCAGACUUGGAGGCGGGUGCCAGGGCCCUCCGAGUCCCUCUCCCACCCUGGCUUGCCUGGGCAGAGAGACGGUGCUGGUGAGGGGUGGGGCGGGAGCUGGAGGGUGUCGCUGCCUACCGGCCCCCUAACAAGGGACGACCCGCUCAGCCCAGGUGCCUAUCGGCAGCAGUCUUGGAGCCGUGGUUGGGGUUGCAGCAAGAGACUGGGCUGGGGGGGUCAGGGGUGCAGACCUCUGCCCCCAUCUCGGGAGCGGGCCCAUCCUUUCAAAGGCCCACUUGCAGUCAGAGUGCAGCCUGUAGCCUCUCUGUGUGUGUCCCUGCUCUCCUUUUCUCCCCCUCCCACUAGUCACUUCCCUCUCGGGAAUGUCAAAGUGCAAGAUGCAGAAACCUGGGCGGACAACGCAGCCUAAAGACCGGCUCCGGCUGGCGGCCCGGGCGGUGCUCCCACCCCGAUGCUCUCUGGGACGGAUGGGGCAGGCUGCUAAGCAGGCAGGUUCAGU
Molecule: long non-coding RNA, 1280 nt
Filed under: Sus scrofa (pig)
Lineage: Eukaryota; Metazoa; Chordata; Mammalia; Artiodactyla; Suidae
Description: lncRNA (ENSSSCG00005021764.1)
Source: RNAcentral